GAUGAACGCUGGCGGCGUGCCUAACACAUGCAAGUCGAGCGAGGGUUUGCUCAGUAUUGAGUAUUCUAAGUCUAGAAUGUUCAAUUCUGAGCAAAACCAAGCGGCGGACGGGUGAGUAACGCGUGGGUAACCUGCCCUAUACACAUGGAUAACAUACUGAAAAGUUUACUAAUACAUGAUAAUAUAUAUUUGCGGCAUCGCAGAUAUAUCAAAGUGUUAGCGGUAUAGGAUGGACCCGCGUCUGAUUAGCUAGUUGGUGAGAUAACUGCCCACCAAGGCGACGAUCAGUAGCCGACCUGAGAGGGUGAUCGGCCACAUUGGAACUGAGACACGGUCCAAACUCCUACGGGAGGCAGCAGUGGGGAAUAUUGCACAAUGGGCGAAAGCCUGAUGCAGCAACGCCGCGUGAACGAUGAAGGUCUUCGGAUCGUAAAGUUCUGUUGCAGGGGAAGAUAAUGACGGUACCCU
RNAcentral lists this ribosomal RNA (468 nucleotides) under Peptostreptococcus stomatis. RNAcentral's name for it is "bacterial SSU rRNA". It matches the Rfam family "Bacterial small subunit ribosomal RNA", at positions 28 to 481 of the family's 1533-position model. The record is from RNAcentral. Lineage: Bacteria; Bacillati; Bacillota; Clostridia; Peptostreptococcales; Peptostreptococcaceae.